ACUGCGAUAGCUCAGUUGGUAGAGCAUCUGACCGGUGGGCAGAAUGUCGCCAGUUCGAUUCCGGCUCGCGGCG
RNAcentral lists this transfer RNA (73 nucleotides) under Fasciola gigantica. It matches the Rfam family "tRNA". From Rfam's summary of the family: Transfer RNA (tRNA) molecules are approximately 80 nucleotides in length. The record is from Rfam by way of RNAcentral. Lineage: Eukaryota; Metazoa; Platyhelminthes; Trematoda; Plagiorchiida; Fasciolidae.